UCGAACGCUUCUUUCCUCCCGAGUGCUUGCACUCAAUUGGAAAGAGGAGUGGCGGACGGGUGAGUAACACGUGGGUAACCUACCCAUCAGAGGGGGAUAACACUUGGAAACAGGUGCUAAUACCGCAUAACAGUUUAUGCCGCAUGGCAUAAGAGUGAAAGGCGCUUUCGGGUGUCGCUGAUGGAUGGACCCGCGGUGCAUUAGCUAGUUGGUGAGGUAACGGCUCACCAAGGCCACGAUGCAUAGCCGACCUGAGAGGGUGAUCGGCCACACUGGGACUGAGACACGGCCCAGACUCCUACGGGAGGCAGCAGUAGGGAAUCUUCGGCAAUGGACGAAAGUCUGACCGAGCAACGCCGCGUGAGUGAAGAAGGUUUUCGGAUCGUAAAACUCUGUUGUUAGAGAAGAACAAGGACGUUAGUAACUGAACGUCCCCUGACGGUAUCUAACCAGAAAGCCACGGCUAACUACGUGCCAGCAGCCGCGGUAAUACGUAGGUGGCAAGCGUUGUCCGGAUUUAUUGGGCGUAAAGCGAGCGCAGGCGGUUUCUUAAGUCUGAUGUGAAAGCCCCCGGCUCAACCGGGGAGGGUCAUUGGAAACUGGGAGACUUGAGUGCAGAAGAGGAGAGUGGAAUUCCAUGUGUAGCGGUGAAAUGCGUAGACAUAUGGAGGAACACCAGUGGCGAAGGCGGCUCUCUGGUCUGUAACUGACGCUGAGGCUCGAAAGCGUGGGGAGCAAACAG
RNAcentral lists this ribosomal RNA (742 nucleotides) under uncultured Bacilli bacterium. RNAcentral's name for it is "bacterial SSU rRNA". It matches the Rfam family "Bacterial small subunit ribosomal RNA", at positions 62 to 775 of the family's 1533-position model. The record is from RNAcentral. Lineage: Bacteria; Bacillati; Bacillota; Bacilli.